RNAcentral lists this long non-coding RNA (640 nucleotides) under Musa acuminata (dwarf banana). Its description in RNAcentral is "long non-coding RNA (MACU_LNC011791)". Lineage: Eukaryota; Viridiplantae; Streptophyta; Magnoliopsida; Zingiberales; Musaceae. The record is from RNAcentral.
CUCCUUGGAACACUAUAGGGGUUCCUCCCUCCAAGUUGCUGCUCAAAGGCUGCAGAAAAGAUUCAUCUAUUGCUUAUGAAAAUAGAAGGAAUACAUGGCUAUUUAUAGGGCUUCUAAACCCUAACUCCUAAUAGGACUCCUACUUAAGUCUCUUACUUCUAACCAACUCCUAAUAGGACUCCUACUCAAGACUCCUAUUCCCUUACAACCCCUAAUUCUUCUCUAAGAAAAAACCUCCUACAUGAAUGCCCCUUUGUAUUAGGACUCUCCUAGCUAGAGUCCUAACAGAAUGUCCCUCUCAAUUAGGACUCUCCUAGCUAGAGUCCUAACAGUUUUACAUGAAUGUCCCUCUCAAUUAGGACUCUCCAAGCUAGAGUCCUAAUAGACCCGCCCUCUUCAAAUCAGCCUUGUCCUCGAGGCUAAUGAUUCGUGAAUUCUGGGAAUUUGAUCUUCAAGUCAUCAUAGUUCUCCCAAGUGGCAUCUUCUAUUGGUAGGUUCGCCCACUGUAUUAGCACUUCAUUAGUGGGUCAUCGUCGUCGAGUCACGAUCUGUCGAUCAAUAAUGGCACUUGGUUGGGUCUGGAGUUCUCUUUGGGUAGUCAUAUUUGGUGGGUGGCUUUGGGCUGUCUCCAAGCACCUAU